GAUGAACGCUGGCGGCAUGCCUAAUACAUGCAAGUCGAGCGAACAGACGUGAGUGCUUGCGCUCUCUGGCGUUAGAGGCGGAAGAGCGUGUCACACGUAGGUAACCUACCUCUAAAACUGGGAUCUAAUAGGGCAACCGGUGCGAAUCACAGAUAAUAUUUAGCUUCGCAUGGGGCACGAGUGAGAGACGGUUCUUGUUUCGCCAAUAGCUUACCCCGGCGUCUAUUAGUUGGUGGGCGGGGUAACGGCUCAGCAAGACAACGACCCAUAGCCGACCUGAGAGGGUGUUAGGCCACACUGGGAGUGAGACACCGCCCAGACUGCGACGGGAGGCAGCAGUAGGGAAUCUUCCGCGAUGGAAGAAAGUAUGACGGAGCAAUGCCGCGUGAGUGAAGAAGGUUUUCGGAUCGGAAAACUCUGUGGUAAGGGAAGAACAAGUACGUUAGUAACUGAACGUACCUUGACGGUACCUGAGCAAAAAGCCACGGCUAACUACGUG
RNAcentral lists this ribosomal RNA (499 nucleotides) under uncultured bacterium. RNAcentral's name for it is "partial 16S ribosomal RNA". It matches the Rfam family "Bacterial small subunit ribosomal RNA", at positions 28 to 507 of the family's 1533-position model. The record is from RNAcentral.